Long non-coding RNA from Astyanax mexicanus (Mexican tetra), 1071 nucleotides. RefSeq lists it as uncharacterized. The transcript has 3 exons. The record is from RefSeq and is a predicted model, not a curated record. NCBI's taxonomy places the organism in Eukaryota, Metazoa, Chordata, Actinopteri, Characiformes, Acestrorhamphidae.
AGUCCUUAACCUCGUUACUGUUUUCCUCAGUGCCUUUUUCUCUGAAAUAAAAAGAACAUUGUGUAAAAGGUAUUUUACCUACAAUAAGGAAUCAUAGGGAGUAGGGAGAAGGGACCAUGUUGUGAACUGGACGCGCCCCACAGACGUGCCCUAGCAGCGCGCGCAGAGGAGCGGCUUAUUGCUUGGUCUGAGGAUCAAGAAAGCUGUGGCGUUAUAGCACUUGUCCCGAAAGUCCUUCUCCAAACUGACUCUGUUGAGAAAACGGCACCAAACUUACUCUGUUGAGAAAACGGCACCAAACUAACUCUGUUGAGAAAACGGCACCAAACUGACUCUGUUGAGAAAACGGCACCAAACUGACUCUGUUGAGAAAACGGCACCAAACUUACUCUGUUGAGAAAACGGCACCAAACUGACUCUGUUGAGAAAACGGCACCAAACUGACUCUGUUGAGAAAACGGCACCAAACUGACUCUGUUGAGAAAACGGCACCAAACUUACUCUGUUGAGAAAACGGCACCAAACUGACUCUGUUGAGAAAACGGCACCAAACUGACUCUGUUGAGAAAACGGCACCAAACUGACUCUGUUGAGAAAACGGCACCAAACUGACUCUGUUGAGAAAACAGAACAAUUUGAGAUAAUAUUGUUGUAAAUCCAUAACCAUUUGAGAUCAGACACUGUUGUGAAUACAAAACACCCUUUGAAGACAGACAUUUGUGAAAACUGAACCCCCUGAAAACGGAACCCUUUAAACACACUGUUGUGACAAGAUAAUCCUUUUUCCUUAUUUAUCCUGUUAGAAUUUUCUUGUGAUUUGUUUCAGUUCUGGUGAUCUAAAGAAGCAGACUAUCUGAAGCUGAAGACCAUCUCCAUCUGGACCUUAUCUGCAUUUCAAGACUGUCAAACAUCCACAUCUUUACAUUUAGUUAAUUUCCUUGCCAUUUUAUUGCUUAUUCAUAAUUUUAAUCCAACUUUCAUGUAUUAACGACUGCAUAUUGCUUGUGGAUUGGAUUCCUUCUGUUUUUGAAUUAUAAGUACACUUUAUUGUUAUAUUAAAUAUUGUGUGUG